CGACGGCGGGCUGUGUUGCAUCUUUCUUAGUUGUCUAGUUCAAGACGCAAGCUUCAUCUUCAUCUAUGAUGUACAUGGUCCACCCUCAUUCAUUCUCUCUCACUCUCUAAAAAGUGCACUCGUCCAGUCUUCCUCCACCAGUUGCAGUUGCUGUUCACAAUGAAGCGAGUUUCCCUUUCAAUCCUCUUUCUCGCCCUUCUCUUGCUAUCCUCUGUGGCUGUUGGGCGUCAAUUGGUUGAAGAUUCCCAUGCAGAUAAGUACAAAGGCUUUUGCAGUCUCUGCAUUCGUCAUGGCGUGUGCUGCGCAGACUAUUGCUGCCCCACUAAAUGCUGCUCGAAGGAGGAGUACGAUGAGUUCCUGAAAGGGACGAGUGUCCCUCAGAACUGAGGAGGCUUCCUGGUUCGCCGGUGUUGACGCAUGUUGAUGAUAAUGGUAGCAGCGAAGGUGCUUGUCAAUAAUAAAGUAAGCGUGCAAGCUUAUUGUCCGCUAGCAAUCGAGCAUGCAUGCAGGGUAUGUGUGUCCUGGUUCUUGUUGAUUUUACAAGAACCUUAUGUGUACGCUUUAUGUCGCGUGGAAUGAAAUAAAUUAGUUAA
This is a long non-coding RNA of Nymphaea colorata (pocket water lily), 593 nucleotides long. RefSeq lists it as uncharacterized. The record is from RefSeq and is a predicted model, not a curated record. NCBI's taxonomy places the organism in Eukaryota, Viridiplantae, Streptophyta, Magnoliopsida, Nymphaeales, Nymphaeaceae. The transcript is spliced from 3 exons.